This 305-nucleotide long non-coding RNA is filed under the name Homo sapiens (human). Its description in RNAcentral is "HSALNT0012939". Lineage: Eukaryota; Metazoa; Chordata; Mammalia; Primates; Hominidae. The record is from RNAcentral.
GACAAAUUAGACAACCUCUCUGAGCCGCAGCGUCCUCAGUGAAAAGUGAAGAUUACAGAAGAUGUACAAAAUAACUGCAUAGUGCCUGACAGUGGGUGGUUGCCUCUUAAAGUUUGGUAGCUGCUGCUGCUGCUGCUGAUGACGAUGACGAUUUUGUGUUAGAUAUUGUGCUAGGUACUGGGAUUCAAGGGUGAAGAAAACAGAAGCCCCGCUAUUGAGGAGGUUACAGUCUAGUGGGAGAGACUGAGAAGUUUGUCACCUCUUAAUUGCAAUGUGGCUGCCAUAGCUCCAGACAUCACAUCCAC